RNAcentral lists this ribosomal RNA (497 nucleotides) under uncultured bacterium. Its description in RNAcentral is "partial 16S ribosomal RNA". It matches the Rfam family "Bacterial small subunit ribosomal RNA", at positions 28 to 507 of the family's 1533-position model. The record is from RNAcentral.
GAUGAACGCUGGCGGCGUGCCUAAUACAUGCAAGUCGAGCGAACAGACGAGGAGCUUGCUCCUCUGACGUUAGCGGCGGACGGGUGAGUAACACGUGGAUAACCUACCUAUAAGACUGGGAUAACUUCGGGAAACCGGAGCUAAUACCGGAUAAUAUAUUGAACCGCAUGGUUCAAUAGUGAAAGACGGUUUUGCUGUCACUUAUAGAUGGAUCCGCGCCGCAUUAGCUAGUUGGUAAGGUAACGGCUUACCAAGGCGACGAUGCGUAGCCGACCUGAGAGGGUGAUCGGCCACACUGGAACUGAGACACGGUCCAGACUCCUACGGGAGGCAGCAGUAGGGAAUAUUCCGCAAUGGGCGAAAGCCUGACGGAGCAACGCCGCGUGAGUGAUGAAGGUCUUCGGAUCGUAAAACUCUGUUAUUAGGGAAGAACAAAUGUGGAAGUAACUAUGGACGUCUUGACGGUACCUAAUCAGAAAGCAACGGCUAACUACGUG